This is a transfer RNA of Fistulina hepatica ATCC 64428, 104 nucleotides long. It matches the Rfam family "tRNA". Rfam says of the family: Transfer RNA (tRNA) molecules are approximately 80 nucleotides in length. Their secondary structure includes four short double-helical elements and three loops (D, anti-codon, and T loops). The record is from Rfam. NCBI's taxonomy places the organism in Eukaryota, Fungi, Basidiomycota, Agaricomycetes, Agaricales, Fistulinaceae.
GGGCGCUUAGCUCAGGGGUAGAGCGCACGCUUCGCAUGGAGAAGUACACCAUCAAAGGAUAUUAUCCGUGCGUGAGGUCGUGGGUUCAAUUCCCACAGCGUCCA